GUUUACCUAAAAGCUGUGCCUUAAAGAUCACAGAUGCUCAAUAUAUAUUGCUGAAUGGACUUGCAAGUUUAAAAUGUAUGUUCAACAUAUUGACCUUUGGGGUCCUGGGAAUGAAAGCGUUUGCAUAACAUCACAUCAGAAAUAUUUAAAGCCUAAGUUAUUUUUAUUGUCUGGGACUGUUCUCUUUUGCAUGUAAAUAUCUUAAAAUCCUACAAAUAUAUGAAACAAGAAAGAAAAGAAAAAACAACCAUAGUUUCAUCAAACUAUGUUGAUUUCUAAAAAAUCAAAUUGUUAUGGUUGAGAAAUACAAAUCAUUUUUUAAUUAGUUUAAAACUGAUUUUUUAAAGUUCACUUUUGAAUAAGUUAUAUUUGCACAUGGUGAAAAAUUCAAACAGUAUAUACUUCUGGAAAAUGCUGCCCAUAUGCAAACAUAGUUAUAUCUUUCUGCACUUUUUUCCAAAAAUAGUAUCAUACUGUAUGCAUUGCUUGCACCUUGCUUUUGCAUUUAACAAUUUAUCUUAGAAAUCAUUCCACGUCAUUAUAUGUGAUAUGGUUUGGACCCGGUGGGAGGUAAUUGAAUCAUGGGGGCAGGUUUUUCCCAUGCUGUUCUCAUAAUAGUGAAUAAGUCUCAUGAGAUCCGAUGGUUCUUUAAGGGGGAGUUUUCCUGCACAAGCUCUCUUCGCCUGCCGACAUCCACGUAAGAUGUGAUUUGCUCCUCCUUGCCUUCCAUCAUGAUUGUGAAGCCUCGCCAGCUAUGCGGAACUGUAAGUCCAAUUAAACCUCUUUCUUUAGUAACUUGCCCAGUCUCAGGUAUGUCUUUAUCAGCAGCGUGAAAACAGACAAAUAUAAUAUGUAUCAGUUAAGAUUAGAUCUGGCUGCUGGUGAAAGAAAAUUAAAAACAUCAAUGCCUUGCAAAAUUAGACAUUGAUUUGUCUCUCUAAUGAAGUCCAAAGGUAAGUGGCCAGGCAAUACUAAGAUUCCAUAAUUAUCAGGGACCUAGGAUCCUUCUAUCGUUUUUAUGCCAUCUUCAACAUGGGGCUUCUACCUCAUGUUCCAACAUGACUGUCUGAGCUCCUGCCAUUACAUCUGCAUCUAUCUAGAAAAAAAAAAAAAAAAA
RNAcentral lists this long non-coding RNA (1117 nucleotides) under Macaca fascicularis (crab-eating macaque). RNAcentral describes it as "lncRNA (ENSMFAG00000063725.1)". The record is from RNAcentral. Lineage: Eukaryota; Metazoa; Chordata; Mammalia; Primates; Cercopithecidae.